RNAcentral lists this transfer RNA (76 nucleotides) under Halobacteriovorax sp. Its description in RNAcentral is "tRNA-Met". It matches the Rfam family "tRNA". Rfam says of the family: Transfer RNA (tRNA) molecules are approximately 80 nucleotides in length. Their secondary structure includes four short double-helical elements and three loops (D, anti-codon, and T loops). Further hydrogen bonds mediate the characteristic L-shaped molecular structure. tRNAs have two regions of fundamental functional importance: the anti-codon, which is responsible for specific mRNA codon recognition, and the 3' end, to which the tRNAs corresponding amino acid is attached (by aminoacyl-tRNA synthetases). tRNAs cope with the degeneracy of the genetic code in two manners: having more than one tRNA (with a specific anti-codon) for a particular amino acid; and 'wobble' base-pairing, i.e. permitting non-standard base-pairing at the 3rd anti-codon position. The record is from RNAcentral. RNAcentral also lists the same sequence under 1 other name. Lineage: Bacteria; Pseudomonadati; Bdellovibrionota; Bacteriovoracia; Bacteriovoracales; Halobacteriovoraceae.
CGCGGGAUGGAGCAGUUGGUAGCUCGUCGGGCUCAUAACCCGAAGGUCGUUGGUUCGAAUCCAGCUCCCGCAACCA